This is a long non-coding RNA of Carassius carassius (crucian carp), 965 nucleotides long. RefSeq lists it as uncharacterized. The record is from RefSeq and is a predicted model, not a curated record. NCBI's taxonomy places the organism in Eukaryota, Metazoa, Chordata, Actinopteri, Cypriniformes, Cyprinidae. The transcript is spliced from 2 exons.
UUCAUUACAAAUAAUCCAAAACAUAGAAGUUGAACUAAAUCCUUAUUGGUGAGGUGAAAGGUUAGCUCUGCCCUUGUUGGAAAGUUUCCAAAAAAGAUCGCGUACAAGCAGAGGUGAGAGAGAGUGAGAGAGAUUGCGAACGACACGAGAGAUACCGAACUACACGACAGUGAUAGUAGAUUAAAUGAUUUGAGAAUAGCUGUUUAAUAAUCCAGCUAUAGAUCAUUCAAAAGUGAAAAGUAGAUUUAUGUUUAAGCUUUGAGAAGUUCGUUGUGAACUUGAAUGCGACGAGAAGAUAACACUAACGUGAUAGGAUCAAUCUUGCGAUCUUUUUCCUUGAAACUAUUUUUCUUUUUUUUCUUUUGUUCUCUGAUUUAUAUUUCUUCUUGGUGAGCCGGGUUUUUUUGUGUUUCUUGUUUUAUUUCUCUCUUUUGUGAGCUUCUGAAUUGCUGCUGUGAUCUUGAAUUCUGUCCUGGCUGUGGAUCCUUAUCCCUGGUUUGGACUGGCGAGCCAUCCCAUAUUCUCGUACCUGGAAACAGAGCAAAAGAGUUGUGAGAGUUGCAAGAAAGAGUUUUCUGAUUGGUAGGACAGACUGCACACAUUACAGGUUUUCUUUCUUUUUCCAAGUUUUUCCUGGAUUUCCCUCAGGAUAAAGUUUCUUUUUUCUUUUUUUCUUCAUGGACUGUACUCAUUAAUACAUUUUUGAUGAACAUUCCUAUAUUUUUUUUGGAAUUUGAAAUUUAGAUAUUGAACUUGAAAUUGAGACACUGAGGUCAAAUUUCAGAAACUGACGUUUGGAAUUGUUGACUGUUUCUGUGUUUAUCGUUUAUUUCAAAUACUGUGUGUUACUGUUAUCCAUUUGUUUUUAUUUUGUUUUAUUUCAUUCUGCCAAUUUCGAAAAAUACAACAUAUGCAAGACAACAAACAAAGAGAAAAGAAAUACACUUACCUUUUAAUUAGCUACA